UAGUUGCCACCAGGUCAUGCUGAGCACUCUAACGAGACUGCCGGCGUUAAGCCGGAGGAAGGUGGGGAUGACGUCAAGUCCUCAUGGCCCUUACAUCCAGGGUUGCAAACGUGCUACAAUGGCGCGUACAGAGCGACGCAAGAGCGCAAGCUGGAGCAAAUCGCACAAAACGCGCCCCAGUUCGGAUUGUCGGCUGCAACUCGCCGGCAUGAAGUUGGAAUCGCUAGUAAUCGCGGAUCAGCUACGCCGCGGUGAAUACGUUCCUGAGCCUUGUACACACCGCCCGUCAAGUCAUGGGAGCCGGUAGUGCCCGAAGCCGCCACGAUUCAGUGGUGUCCACGGCAAGAUCGGUGACUGGGACUAAGUCGUAACAAGGUAGCCGUAGGAGAACCUGCGGCUGGAUCACCUCCUUUCUAA
This 417-nucleotide ribosomal RNA is filed under the name Phycisphaerales bacterium. RNAcentral describes it as "bacterial SSU rRNA". It matches the Rfam family "Bacterial small subunit ribosomal RNA", at positions 1112 to 1533 of the family's 1533-position model. Lineage: Bacteria; Pseudomonadati; Planctomycetota; Phycisphaerae; Phycisphaerales. The record is from RNAcentral.